CCUCCCUGUCUCUUCCUUUUUUUUCUUCUUUGAUGUGGCUAGAAUAUUGACGUCAUGAUAUUUCUUAGCCCGGUCUACAACUAAGCUAGUACAUCAAGUAUAGGAUAUAAUUUUCCUAAAUGGAAGGUUUAUCUUUACGAAACAUAUUGCAAAUAAGAAGUUUCUAACUCCAAGGGCAAAUUGAUUCUCGAAUAUUCUCUCUAUUACCACU
Molecule: long non-coding RNA, 211 nt
Filed under: Elaeis guineensis (African oil palm)
Lineage: Eukaryota; Viridiplantae; Streptophyta; Magnoliopsida; Arecales; Arecaceae
Description: long non-coding RNA (EGUI_LNC048713)
Source: RNAcentral